GCUUGCUUUCUUGCUGACGAGCGGCGGACGGGUGAGUAAUGUAUGGGGAUCUGCCCGAUAGAGGGGGAUAACUACUGGAAACGGUGGCUAAUACCGCAUAAUGUCUACGGACCAAAGCAGGGGCUCUUCGGACCUUGCACUAUCGGAUGAACCCAUAUGGGAUUAGCUAGUAGGUGGGGUAAAGGCUCACCUAGGCGACGAUCUCUAGCUGGUCUGAGAGGAUGAUCAGCCACACUGGGACUAAGACACGGCCCAGACUCCUACGGGAGGCAGCAGUGGGGAAUAUUGCACAAUGGGCGCAAGCCUGAUGCAGCCAUGCCGCGUGUAUGAAGAAGGCCUUAGGGUUGUAAAGUACUUUCAGCGGGGAGGAAGGUGAUAAGGUUAAUACCCUUAUCAAUUGACGUUACCCGCAGAAGAAGCACCGGCUAACUCCGUGCCAGCAGCCGCGGUAAUACGGAGGGUGCAAG
RNAcentral lists this ribosomal RNA (467 nucleotides) under Proteus mirabilis. Its description in RNAcentral is "bacterial SSU rRNA". It matches the Rfam family "Bacterial small subunit ribosomal RNA", at positions 74 to 538 of the family's 1533-position model. Lineage: Bacteria; Pseudomonadati; Pseudomonadota; Gammaproteobacteria; Enterobacterales; Morganellaceae. The record is from RNAcentral.